Long non-coding RNA from Dendrobium catenatum, 2137 nucleotides. RefSeq lists it as uncharacterized. NCBI's taxonomy places the organism in Eukaryota, Viridiplantae, Streptophyta, Magnoliopsida, Asparagales, Orchidaceae. The record is from RefSeq and is a predicted model, not a curated record. The transcript is spliced from 2 exons.
AAGCACCUCAAUCCAUGCUGCUACUAUAUGUCUGAUAUCGCGUAUAUACAGAUAUGACAUAUUCAUUGACGAUUAGCCUUAAUCGAAAGUUCUCUCUCGUGAUCGGCAGCGUAAUUAACUAUAGGGGCUUGCGCCUAUAAGAAACUAGAACUCAGAUCAUAAAAUCCUCGCAAAAUGAGGACGAAAUUUUUGGGUGUGUCUUACCUACAAUCCCAAUCUGUCUUCCUAAAAUUUUCCCCGGAACUUAAUCCAUUAAAAUUCCCCCCCGAUAGCAAAAAGCGAAAGCGCGGAGGGGAGGAUGGGGCACAAAUUUUCGGAGCCCACGAACUUGUACCCCAAACUAAAAAAAAUCAUAUUCGAUCAAAUAUAUCAAGUAGUUAAAAGACUCUGGUAAAAUAUAAAUGCAAAUUCUGUUAUUAAGAAUAUAUUAAAAUAAUAUUUUUAUCAUUCAGGGUAAUAUAUUAUUUUCUAAGACGUGCUUGAUCAUAAAAUAUUCCCUUCUAUUGAGGAUGAAAAAAUUACACCAACAGAUGUUUUUUUUUAUAUUUCAGUUGUUUUGGAUUAGGAAGGGUGAGUUAAUUUCCAAAUGGUAGAGGUUCUAGAGAAGGGCUAGUCUUUGAUGAAAUUGGAUUGUAUAUUAAAUUGUUUUUAUGUGGAGAUUUGUUGAACAGUGAGGAAGCGAGACUAAAAGUUUUUGGUUUUGGGAUCUAAUUCAUGUUCAUUAGUGUGAAUAUACUUAGUUCGAGUGACAUAAAAGAGGGGAUAAUUGGGUUGAUAGAAAGAAUCGAUUCUAUGAUGAAGAGAUUAUUUCAAGAUCAUAAUUCUAAGGUGAAAUAGUUUUAAUAGUUUCCUAAUUAUAGUUUAGUUGAGGGAAGCAUCCAUUGGAUAUGCUUGAAAUGUGUGGGAAUAUACUUGUUAAAAAACUAACUACAUAUCUAAUAAUUGUUUUCAAAAUUCGAAACAAGGAAUGGUUGCUUCAGUUAGCAAUUUGAAACUACCAUUAUUCUAUUCCUUGGGAAUUUCUGUAUCCCCUUGAAAUGAAAGUAUUCAAGGAAUAAGCAUGAGUGGCUGCAUCCCCCUUCAUUGUUGCCGCUUUUGGUGUAGCAAAGGCCUUGAUGUGCUGGAAAUCAACAAAAAAUAGCCUUUUAGGUGAGCUGUUUGCUGAAUUAGGUCAUCUUGGUUGCGGUUUUUCUAAUCAAUGUUGGCUUCUUUAGUGGAGCUUUAUAGGCCCUGGAUGCAUGUUUUGGUGAUGUGUAGUUUUUUCUGUCUGGAAGUCAGUGUUUGAUUUGUUGAGUUAGCUUUAGCCAACAAGAGCUUUUAAUAUUCCGAUAACUGAAUGGUCAAUGGAAUAUGAUACACCCACAAACCCGAAGUUCUAAAAUUGGGUUAACUUGUAAUAGUUAUUGAAAGUCUAUGCUUGCUGUUCUCUCCUAAAAACCAAAGUCGCAUAGCUAUCUAUUGAUGUGAAAGCCAGCACCCCAAAGUUAGUGCAGUCAAAAGGUCUGUAAUGCUCGGAGCCAUUAUAUUAACUGAAACAUGUGUUCGAAGUUUCUUAAUUGUUAAUGCUUGAAGUUAUUUUAGUUCAAUGCUGGGGAAGAAAAUCUUACUUCGCUUUCUUACUGUUAGUGCAUUCUAUUUGCCAACUUAUCACUUGUCUUGAUGAUUCUCUUCAAGUGUUUUUUUUUCUCCUCUAUAUUAUUUCUGUUCUUUAUGUUGAUUUAUUUUGAGUUUGUUUAUGAAUUUUGCUUCUACAUUUAAUUCUUGCAACAUACGUGCAGGAUCCUUGAAAUGAAUCACAGAAAAAUAGCGUUCUUAUUUGAGUUGCUAGCUGCGGAAUUUAUCACAUGUAGCUAUAUGAAUUGCAAAAAGUUAUGGUAUUGUGUGAUAAAAUAUAAAUAGUAAACUUUCUUCAGAAGAUAAACAAAUCAAAUAUAAAGUUCAUUUGUUUUUGUGUAUAUUAGCAAAUGCACAUUCGUUUUGAUGUCACUAGAUGGCUUAUAGUUAAAAUAGUAUAAUUGGUAAGGCAGGCAUUCAGAUCCAACUUUAGAAGUUGAAGAAUGUCGUUUAAAUAAGUCCCUGGUUAGAAGUUAUUUAAUGUUUUCAUUUAAUACUACUAAGAAGAGAGAAAUUGAAUGGA